GGUCGAUUAGCUCAGUUGGUUAGAGCGCCGUACUAAUACUUCGGAAUACGAUGCGAUUCCGGCUCGGUACAUGCGGAUGUCAUGGGUUCGACCCCCAUAUUGACCA
This is a transfer RNA of Puccinia graminis f. sp. tritici, 106 nucleotides long. It matches the Rfam family "tRNA". From Rfam's summary of the family: Transfer RNA (tRNA) molecules are approximately 80 nucleotides in length. Their secondary structure includes four short double-helical elements and three loops (D, anti-codon, and T loops). NCBI's taxonomy places the organism in Eukaryota, Fungi, Basidiomycota, Pucciniomycetes, Pucciniales, Pucciniaceae. The record is from Rfam.